This 512-nucleotide ribosomal RNA is filed under the name uncultured bacterium. RNAcentral's name for it is "partial 16S ribosomal RNA". It matches the Rfam family "Bacterial small subunit ribosomal RNA", at positions 28 to 523 of the family's 1533-position model. The record is from RNAcentral.
GAUGAACGCUGGCGGCAUGCCUAAUACAUGCAAGUCGAACGAGAGGAAGGAAAGCUUGCUUUUCUGAAUCUAGUGGCGAACGGGUGAGUAACGCGUAGGUAACCUGCCCAUGUGCCCGGGAUAACUUCUGGAAACGGAUGCUAAAACCGGAUAGGUAGCAGACAAGCAUUUGACUGCUAUUAAAGUGGCUAAGGCCAUGAACAUGGAUGGACCUGCGGUGCAUUAGCUAGUUGGUGAGGUAACGGCCCACCAAGGCGACGAUGCUUAGCCGGCCUGAGAGGGCGGACGGCCACAUUGGGACUGAGACACGGCCCAAACUCCUACGGGAGGCAGCAGUAGGGAAUUUUCGUCAAUGGGGGGAACCCUGAACGAGCAAUGCCGCGUGAGUGAGGAAGGUCUUCGGAUCGUAAAGCUCUGUUGUAAGAGAAAAACGACAUUCAUAGGGAAUGAUGAGUGAGUGAUGGUAUCUUACCAGAAAGUCACGGCUAACUACGUGCCAGCCGCCGCAGUAA